AGGUUGAAAGAAUACGCCUCCUUGAAAAAUAGCCCGGAAGCUUUCUACUCCGCAAUAUCUGACGAAUGGUGUUAGUGCAAUAUUUUUUAGGUAGUGCAUGCAUAUAGAAAAAUAAAUAGAGCUGCCGAUUGAGUCGCCUCCUAUGCAGCACAGCAUUCUGGAGAUCUCCUCCACAGUUUUGACAGAUUAUUGUUUUUGAUUCUGUUGAUUGUAUGUAUACUAGAAUAGGAUGAGCAGCUGUUGUAUUAAAAAAUAAUACUAAUAAUAAUAAUAAAAAACUGCAGCAUACCGGGCUAUUCAGUCUAACGCUUGGUUACCCUCGCAGUAUACAUGGGUCCGCUUUAAAAGCAAAAAAACUCCCCUUUUAUUGAAAGAUAUCCUGUAAUAAUGGAUGACGGACAUUCCUCCAAGCAUUAUUCGCAUUAAUCCAAGAUGGUACAGCAGCUGAAUCACCUUUUGACCAGACCUGCUGUGCAUUGCAUUGUUGAAUAAAUGCAGCAAGACCCAAGCAAGCUACAAGCAGCUCUGCAAAAAGAAACUGAAGAGCUGGUUAUCUUCUUACCAUAAGCACAUAACAUCUUCCCAAACUGAUCUCUGAUCAGAAAUCCAGCUGCUGCAGAAGGCCCACAAACUGAACCAUGCAUCAAAAGUUUAUUUUUAGCACACCCAAGAGAAGAGGCAGCCACAAGAUAUAAGUAAGAUUUGAAUAGAUGUUAUAUUGAUAAAAAGAACCAUCCAAGUUACUUCACUGUGCAGAAAUUCCUUGUUCAUUUAUUAAACAUAGAACCGUUCUUACCACUUGCUGCGGUGUAGUGGUAAGAAUGAUUCUAUGUUUUAGCUUAACGUUAUUUUCUUGAGAAAAUCUAUCUUGAAUUUGUUCCCCUUUAAUGGUUUUACUUCCUACAAAAUAUUAGUUUGUGAUCCACAUCAAGAAGUCCAAGCAGUUGUUUUUAAGGAAGUCCUGUGCCUGCUAACCAAUCAGUAGCAACAUUAGUCUGCCUAGAAACAUGUUGAACAGUGAAGUUCUGAAGGAAGGAAGUUAUCUCCUCUCAGCAGAGGAACCAUUAAAUGGGAUAACUUCUUUAACCAUUGAAUGACAGCAAGGGAAUUUGGAGACAAGGACUACCAAACUUUAUAGUUACCAUCACAAUAUCUUCCCAGGCUGCACGAAGUUCAGUGUAGGAACAAAACUUGAAGAAAAGCAUGGAGCACCAACCUCCACAAAGUUUGCUCUGAUAUCAUUUCUAUCACAAUUCAAGACCUUACCUUACAAGAUUAGUCGGAAAGUAUUUUUUUUGGCUUCUUAGUCCUGUAUAAAUAUCCAAAAAAAUUUCAACGAAUAAUCGAUGUGAAACUAAACACAUGCUCGUACGGAUUCUCAUGAGAAGACUAGAGUUGCAAAUGUUCUAGGGCUGAGGGUUAGAAAAAGAUUCAAGCCAUUCUUUUGCCAGUCUAGUAGAGCAGUUAGCAAUGUUAUCAAGAGUCAAAACUUGGUCUUCGAAAGUACUUGAAUUCCUAGCAGACCAUAGAGACCAACUGCAGUAAGCUACAAUGGAUUUCUAUAGAUUAUCAUGGGAUUGGGAAAGAAAUUGUAGAACACCUUCUAGCGAAUCAUCAAAAAGCACCGCAUUCCCAAUAGCACCAGCAAUCAAAAACCACAUAAGUCAACAAGCCAAUUGAUCUACAUCCAGUAAUCAGCGUUGAAGUAAGAAAAACUUGCAAGGCGGUCUUUUUCACAGUAUUUUCCACCAAAAAUAGUUUGACUCUUGGUGAUGUAGCAAGUUUCCAAAUGAUAGAGAAGUUCACUUGAUCUUCCCUCUCUGAAAUAUUUUGAUGUAUUAGCUCAUUAUAAAUCUGAUGUGCCUUCGCUGAAGUUGAGGCGGAUUGAUACCAAGUGUCGCAAUCCUCGGCAAUCUACCUUAAUAAUGGGAGAGAAGUAAUUCUGCUGACCAACUCAUGAUUGACGCACUCAUGGAGAAUAGUAAGAUCCCACUUAGCAGGCUCAGUAAAGAGAGUACUUGUUUUUACGACAUUGAUGUCCUUUUUUUUCCUUCUAGUUAGGAAGUGACCAAUCCUGCUCAAUUCAGGCAUCUAGAAAGAUGUUAAGAUCCCGGUCCAUAUUUUCAAAAUAAAAUAUUAAAAACUGACCAUUGUGAUAAAUGUGAGAUUAAAAACUAUAUUUAACUAUUAAUUUGAAAUUUAUUACUUAAAAACAUAUCUACCGAAGUCAAAAAGUGAUUAAAACUAUCUAUCGGUAUGAACAUAUAAUAUCAGCUGAUUUCUCAUAUAAAGACUAUUUAUCAAUUUAUAUUGGUCAAUGUAAUAGGAUCAAGAUUUUUAUAAUUAUUAUAAUGGAAGAUGCUCAAUUCCUAUAUUGAACCAAGAAUUAUUUUCCUUGUUUUUUUCCCCCAAGAAGCAAAGCACCUCACAUGUGAGUGACCAUCUUCCUUUAGGGCAAAUCAUGAGAGUAUAUGGUUAAUUUGUUGAUACCAUAUUUCUUCUUUUAAUUAGAAAGUAAAAAAUAGUGCUCAAGAUUACGACUAAAAUAAUUGCAGUAAUUGAUCUUUAAUACACAAAUUAUAAAUUAUAAUAAUGAAAAAGGGUCUAGGAGUUAGUAGAUAAAUGAUUAAGAUCUCAUUAGUCAUUGAUCAACAGUGUGUUUAAAAGUGGACUAUUUGUCAAUCAGCAUCUCUUUUAUAGAAUAAAAUUUUAGGAGGUGAAAUCUCAUUAGCUGAAAAUGAAGGGGAAGAGGACAUUUGCAGGGCACUUCACUGUCAUGAACCAUUUUGUUGCUUGUUUUAUAAUCUACAUAAUGGCAAUCAAAAUAGGGGCGGUAUAAAAUUAUUAUAGUUCACAUCUACACUGCUCAUUUUUUAUUAUGAUUGAUAAAGAAGCACUAUUUUGUUGUUAAAGGACGAAAGAAUUAUAUAAGGUUUCAAUACUGUUCCAAGGUCAUUUAACAAUUUAAUGUUAAAAGGACUGAUGCAUGUAGGCACACUGACAUAUUUUUAUAUUGGUAAUGAGACAAGCUAACUGGUGUGAGAAUGAAUUGUUACAGCACAAAACCUUAUCCAAAAAUACUGAAAACCUUCUGCUUUGUGCAGCCUUCUUACUAGUGAUGUGGCUGUGCUCAUGCGAAAGUAGUGUGAAUAGCUGAUGUAUAAACCUUUCAGUUUCUUUCUCCUGUCCUCUACUUGAAACUGCAUAUCCUUUUCCUUCUCGCUGUCAGCCAUUCCACCGACAUUUGACACAACCCGGCCUCCUCUCUCCGACUCUCUUUAGCCGCCUCCCUGCAAGUACCCACAUUGAGACCGCCGACAUUGGCUCUCUCUAUUCCAUUUUCCUUUCCUGCUCGUCCUUUUCUCCACGAUCGUAUCUAGUCGUAGGUGUGUUUAGCUUAUUUAAUUUUGUGGAGUUUGGGUACCCCGUCUCUCCGAUCCCCUACCCCCACCCUCGCCGCAUCUGUUCUUCUCACCCUGGAUUGAUUUAUGUGGGGAUUGGGUCAUCUGGACAAGGGUGGAUUUAGAGUGGAGUUCCACAUUCUAAUUCUUUAAUUAAGAUGAAAUCCUAACCUUCUAAUUUAUUUUAUUUUUAGAAAUUUAAUUUCGAUCGAAGUAGAUUAGGGUAAACAUGGAAUUAGGGUAAUUUAAGAUUUAAAAAGAAAUAAAUGAUUGAUUUAAAUGCUCAACUGGUGCUUGAUCAUAGAUAGGUGGGUUUCUAGAUUUUUACGAGGAUAAUUAGUUUCCUUAAUUAUGUUAAAUUAUUGAUAUUAAUUUGAUUGGAUAUGCUUGAUGCAUUUUGUGGCUCGUGGGCAUAUCCUGAUUUGGGUUCUAUUGCCCGUUAAGGGUAAGAAUUUUCCUUUGCACACUUUCUUGCAUGAAUGUACACUUUGAUAUGCUUAUAUUUAUUAUAGAGGAUAGAAGAACUUGAUAAUAUUUUUAUAUAGUUUAUUGUAAGUUCGAUGUAUACAUGAAAUUGAUAUAAAUGUGGCUUGCAUAAUUUGAUGGUUGAUGGUAGUGAUGGACUAGCCAUAUUUAUCGUUCCUCAUUACAGGCUAGAAACGUAGUAUUAUCCCCAUCAAAGACUGAAAAUAUGGUACCAUCGUUUUUCCGUCAUAGGCUAAAAAUGUGAUCAGGGAUGGUCCAAAGUCGAAACUAACUUGAAACACUUGGUAUACACUUCUGAUACUUAUGGAUGAGUGAGGUAUAUGGGCUAAACUCGUUAAUAUCAUUACUCCAUCACAAACUAUAAAUGUGCCAUCGUUUUCCCAUUCUGAAAAUUUUGCACCAUCGUUGCCUCAUCAUGGGCUAGAAACAUGGUCCACUCGAAGCUGAAUUCAAAUUAAACUAUAUUUGUUAAUUGACAUCUAAAUAAUGGGGACACAAUACAUGGAACAGAAGAGGUCAAAAUUUAACAUGCCCCCUCAACAAUAAGCAAUAUUGCAUCAACAUAAAAUCAAAAGCUUACCAGCUACAAAGAAAAAGAGAACAAAAGCAAUAGAAGAAGAGAACAAUAAAUUGUCUCUCAAACUUUUGGCAAGCACAAAAGCAGGAAAACAAUGAUCAAGUGCAAGUCCUCACAGCAAACAGUGGCACAAAAACUCAACUUCAACAAACUGUAUAUCCCACUCACCUUGCCUUAGUUAUUGCAUUAGUGCAACAAAAAUUUCUUUUGCUCCCUUCAUACAGGUCUUCCAUCGACAACACAGUAUAAUACACCCAACUGUUGAAGAUAAUUGAAAGAACUCACACAAAAUCAUUUCUCUUUUUAUUUUUUAUUUUCAUAUAUAGUAUAUCUAUGUCCAUCACUCUUAAUAUUCAGGCUCUUCUUUCGCUCCACAUUAACGAGUUCUGUCCAUGAUUAUAUUUGCCAGACACCUAAGAUGUAUGUGAUGUGUGAAUAUAUGUACCCCCUAUUUUGUUUUAUUCCAAUUCUGGAACUCAUACUUGUGCACUAAUGCAGCAUCCGUGACCGAGUUACCAUCUUUAAGUUACAGAGCCUGUGACAAGAGUAACUUUAAUGCUUCAAACUCAAUUCAUGGAGUUAUUGUUAGCCUUUUACACAACUGUAAAAAACAAUUUCCUUUCAUUUGCAAAACUUUAGCUUUGACUAUAUUUUAAUAUGAAAGAAACCAAAUAAAACCCAAAUGACAUCAAGAAGCAUUUUAUUGUCAGACUGUGUGACUCAGAAACAUGCUAGAGAAAAAACUGAUAAGCAAUUUCUUAAUUUCUUAAUCAGUUCCAUUUUUUAAUGGAGUUUUGAUCGGUUAUCCAAGAGACAUCCAAAGUAAAAUUAGCUAAAUAUGUUUUAUAUUUUAUGAAUUGUUUUGGCAACUACAGCAUAAUAACUUCAGCAGAGGAGGAUGGAUACAAUUGCAGAUGGUCAUGCCAUUUGAGCAAAGAAGAGAUGAGAUAUUGAUCGAUGCAGUGCACUCGACCACAUUUCUUUUUAAUUAAUUUGAUAUUGUCCAACUUCAAUGCAAGAUCAGGAUCCUCAUAAUAGUACAUCAUAUCGGAGAUCUACAUACAAAAAUAAGUCUGUUGCACUUGCAAAUUUGUCUGCUACGGUCUUUCCCAAACAAUUGUUCAAGAUUGAAAGGUUCUUAGUUUAAGACCAGAUGCAGAUGUGAGAAGAUAUUGAUUUAUCACUGCAUUUAAACCUCACAAUAAAGUCUCCAUUGUGAAGAUCUCGAAACAGUGAAUCCAAAACAAUAGAAAUAUGCCAUCUCUAUGAUUCCAUGUUAAUCCUAAAUCUUUCCAAUGGCUGCAAAUCAUGUUUUGACGGCGUAAUAUUUGCAUGUUUCUUAGCCGCAAGGCCUUGUUAUAUUUUCAGGAUGGAAACAGCAUUUAUGAAACCAAAUCUGCAAGAGUGACGUUAUCAUGAGGAAUAGGAUAAUCAUUUCAAUUGUCAAAUUCUAGGACCAUAUUAUAAGAGAUGCCAUGCCAAAGGAUGAGGAUGCUAGGCUGUUAGAGUUAUGACCUUUUGCUUUGAUUCUUCCACAGUUCUUCAGAAUCUUGAUGACUCAGGUACAAUUGAAAAUAUUAUUAAUUAUGUGUUUUUAUAUGGUCCAAGCCUUUGUGCAGAUAGCACUUGUAGGAAAAAUACUUGUUAGUGAUAGCUAGGCUGUGGGACCACAAAUCUGCUCCUCGGGAGGAGUGCUCCUUUGGAGAGAAAGGGAUGUACAAAUGAAGAAAGACAGACAUAGUGUUAAGGAGGGUUGGUGAAGAAAGAAAAAAGGCCCUUAAGAAGAUGCGUGGAAGUUGCGAGGAACGAUUUAAAAGUGCCCAGUCAUAUGGAAUUUAUAUACCUUGCUAGGAAGGCAAUUAUACUGACAUUCUGUCCCACUUCAAUAUAGUUAGAUCGAACAGACUUAAUAAAUGAAAAAUCCACCCCUGUCUAUCUCUAGCAAUGUUAUGAGGGAUAACAUGUCUGAGUUUGAAUGUGAUCAAGAAUGUCAGGUUGGGAAUAUUUUUGCCUUAACAUAAGAAUAUCCUACAUUGUAUUAAUCAUACUCCUCGAGAUUAACUCUACAUACUCAAUCAGGAUAGCAGUACUUUACGAAUUGAUUGUCUGUCUUCUAUAAAGAGGGUCAGUGUAUGCAUCAACUAUAAUCUAUAUUUCAUUCUGCAUAGCUUCCAUAUCAUGUCAAGCAUGUGCAUAUUAAACAUGUGACAGCAUAAUCUAAUCUUAAAGAAGAUCAAUUCAAAAUCAAAAGAAUGGCUCUAUCCAUUUCUGGGCAACUUUGUCAUGGUUUACGGUGACAUAUGUUCAUCCAUUAAGAAAAAAAAAGCAAGCGUACAGGUGAAAUUCACAGCGUGAGACAUCUGAGAACCAUAUUAACAGAUUCAACAAUCAAUGGUAGAGUUUUUUUUUAACUUUAAUAAGAUUUUUCGAUCAUGUAAAUUGGGUGUUUCAUCUUAUAAUCAUUUUCCUUCUACACAAAAAUCAUUAUAUUUUUCUUUUAUGUACUUUUACAAAUAUGAUUUUUGAUUAAUGCAAUGGAUCCUGGUAAAUGUUCUCAAGCAAGCAUGCGUAUUCCUUGAUGGACUAAACCAUGAUAAAGACCGGCAUAAAGGGUGCUGUAAACAUGCCUAGAAAAGCGUCUGACAUGUUAGCUAGAUCUAUGACACUGUGUUUUCUAAUGCCAAUAGCUCAUCAAAGUUUUCAAUUUUAUAUUUUGGCUUUGCGAAUAAGCUGAAAUUAUCGUGCAUUUCAAAAUAUUUUAAAGCUCUCGGAAUAUGAACCUUUUAGUUAAACAUUAGAAAGGUCCAAAAUUUUGAAUCACAACAAAGAAAAAACAAAAACUGAGAAUAAAUGGUCGUGACAAGUUCUGCAAAUUGAUUCAGAUACACUAAUGUGUUGAUUAAUAAAAUAAAGAGUUCUAUAACUAAUUCAAUGAAUUAGUCUAAGACCCUACAAAAUCUCUAAAUUUCUUGUAUAUAUACUAAAACUUUCCAAAGCAUAACAAGAACUAAAGAAAACAGCUUAGUUUACCGGUUUCACGAAGGCAUCAGCUGGCUCCUCUUUGCCACAGAUUCCAUCCCUCCAAAUGGCCACGACGUCCUACCACCUCGCCGCCGCCGCCGCCGCCGCCGCAUCCAUCCGCACCGCAGGCGAGGACUACGGCGUUAUCUCCCCGGCAUCGGCGGCCGAUCGGCGCCGCCCACCAGCACGUCCGCUUCGAGAGCCAUCAAGAUCGAAGGAGAAUUUGGCCAUCAAUUCGGGAGCGAUCGAAAUGCGAGGAGAUCGAAAAGCGAGGAUGAAGUGAGAGAGCUAAACCCUAGCGAGGUCGCGUUAAGAAGAAAAAGGGGCUUUAGGUUGAC
Molecule: long non-coding RNA, 7823 nt
Filed under: Phoenix dactylifera (date palm)
Lineage: Eukaryota; Viridiplantae; Streptophyta; Magnoliopsida; Arecales; Arecaceae
Description: long non-coding RNA (PDAC_LNC005136)
Source: RNAcentral